Long non-coding RNA from Microcebus murinus (gray mouse lemur), 984 nucleotides. RefSeq lists it as uncharacterized. Lineage: Eukaryota; Metazoa; Chordata; Mammalia; Primates; Cheirogaleidae. The record is from RefSeq and is a predicted model, not a curated record.
CACGCGGCGAGAGCGUUGGGCGCGCAUCCCCCUCGCACAGGUGGGGACGGAGACCACUGGCCGACUGACUGAACCGGCGCCUUGGAAUGCAUUUCCCCAGCCCAUACGGAGUGGAGGCAAACUCCCGUGGGUACCUGGAUGUGGCUCGGUUACAGUCAAAAGACCCCGGGCUUGGUUCUUGCCUGUGUCACACAAGCUGAGAGAUCUGAGCUGUCGCCCAACCCCAGUGGGCCUCAGUGUCUGCAUCUGUAUAUGGGGAUAAGGCCUUAACAGUUCUCCCGAAUUAGUGAAAGGCCCAGCACAAAGCUUGCACACGUGGAGAAUCAAGUUCUGCAUCAUUUUUCUCAACAGGCAGAGAAUAUACAGAAGUAAACACUGAAACCAAGAAGUUACUUUACUCUCACUAAGGUGGAAGACUAGACCAGAAUUUCUCAAAACAUGGACCAAGGAAACUCUGCAUCAGUAUCACCUGGAGUGCAUGAUAAAGUCACGGGCAGAGAGGAAUUUGCAAACUGAGAACCAGAGGCAUGAAAGGAAGAAACAUCAAAUUUACAUUAACAUAAAGGAGAAAAGAAGUUCUGGUUUUGUGGCAAACAGAUGGUUACAAUGCUGACACUUGAGUUUAACAACUGUGUGGGUUAAAGCAACUUGCUGGGAUUGUUCAGCAAGAGGCUGGAGACUAGCUGCAGCAGAGCCACUGGUGGAGCUGGGGGAAACGGCAGAGGUUUUACCUCCUCCUGCAGGCAGCAGAAAUGGCAUGUGCAAAGGCACGGAAAUAAAACUGAACAGAAGAUAACUUUGAGUAAACUGCAAAUAGUUCUAGGAGCAGAGAUUACAAAAGGCAGAAAGAAUGAGUGAUGACACUGAAGAGGGAAACAAAGGCCUAAACAUGAUAAAUGGAUGUCACACUAAAAAAUGCAUGCUUUAUCAAACAAGAGGAGACAAGGUCUUUAAGAGGAGUAAUAUCAUCAGAUCUACAGAGUA